RNAcentral lists this ribosomal RNA (720 nucleotides) under uncultured Pseudomonas sp. Its description in RNAcentral is "bacterial SSU rRNA". It matches the Rfam family "Bacterial small subunit ribosomal RNA", at positions 44 to 756 of the family's 1533-position model. The record is from RNAcentral. Lineage: Bacteria; Pseudomonadati; Pseudomonadota; Gammaproteobacteria; Pseudomonadales; Pseudomonadaceae.
AUGAGAGGAUGCUUGCUUCUCGUGAGUCUGCCAGACGUGUCUGAGACGGCGUAGAGAUCAAGUAGUCUCUCACGCGAAUCGUGAUCUGGUCAGAUAGGGGGACAACGUUUCGAAAGGAACGCUAAUACCGCAUACGUCCUACGGGAGAAAGCAGGGGACCUUCGGGCCUUGCGCUAUCAGAUGAGCCUAGGUCGGAUUAGCUAGUUGGUGAGGUAAUGGCUCACCAAGGCGACGAUCCGUAACUGGUCUGAGAGGAUGAUCAGUCACACUGGAACUGAGACACGGUCCAGACUCCUACGGGAGGCAGCAGUGGGGAAUAUUGGACAAUGGGCGAAAGCCUGAUCCAGCCAUGCCGCGUGUGUGAAGAAGGUCUUCGGAUUGUAAAGCACUUUAAGUUGGGAGGAAGGGUUGUAGAUUAAUACUCUGCAAUUUUGACGUUACCGACAGAAUAAGCACCGGCUAACUCUGUGCCAGCAGCCGCGGUAAUACAGAGGGUGCAAGCGUUAAUCGGAAUUACUGGGCGUAAAGCGCGCGUAGGUGGUUCGUUAAGUUGGAUGUGAAAGCCCCGGGCUCAACCUGGGAACUGCAUUCAAAACUGACGAGCUAGAGUAUGGUAGAGGGUGGUGGAAUUUCCUGUGUAGCGGUGAAAUGCGUAGAUAUAGGGAAGGAACACCAGUGGCGAAAGCGACCACCUGGACUGAUACUGACACUGAGGUGCGA